Molecule: long non-coding RNA, 2846 nt
Filed under: Homo sapiens (human)
Lineage: Eukaryota; Metazoa; Chordata; Mammalia; Primates; Hominidae
Description: HSALNT0165165
Source: RNAcentral
UGGCCUUCUCGCGGCUUUCCCCCGAUAUCUCUCUUUAUUCCAGCUGCCUGAAACUCGGUCCCACGAAUGGCAGGCAGCGUCCAAAAUUCAACCCCGUAAAGCCAGCACCAGCCAAUAAAGCGCACGGAUGGAGGCCACGUGACAGCAGUGGGCCGGCCCUCCGGCUGAGCCCUGAUCUCUAUGGUUUCCGCGGCUCGCUAGAAGGAGUGUGGUCCACCGGAGGACUCCCUACAUUCUUCCUCCAUUACCUCACUGCCUCCGGUGGCUGCUGGGAUACCGGAGGACUCGGGUCCCGGCUCGACUCAGUCCUCCAGCCGCCCGGGGAAUACCUCUAGUUCUUCCCGGCCGCCGCCGCCGCCGCCGCCCCGCCGCUUCCUCCUCCGCCUGCCGGCCUCCUUCGCCCCGUCCCGUCCGCGCAGCGCGUCCGGCCCGCCCGCAGGCCAGCUUCUCUCGGGAGCCCCCACCCAGGCGCAUGGCUCCAUGAAGCAAGAGGAGGAGGCAGAGCGCGAGAGGUCCCGUCCGCCCCAGCCGCGUCUGGGCCAGGAUAAAAGCAAAACCAUAUUCCUGCUGCUGUCAGUUAUGAUGCACUGAGAAAACUUCAGAGACCUAAACUUUUUCCAGAGAAGAGAAGCUUUACUGGUGUUCCAGCCCUAAGCAACCAUCUUUCCUGUGAAAAAUUCCCUCUCGUACUUUAGUUCUGUGGAUCCAAAAUUUAUAGCAUUCUUCUACCACCACAGGGGCUCAUAUGACAUUAACAGACAAGACACUUUUCAGAAAGACAGGGCCCUGCUAAGGAGUUUCAAUCUGCUUCAUGGACGUUCAACCUGCCUCUCCCCUUGUCUGGAAUGAUCUUCCUCUGAUGUUCCAUCCACCUUACUUUUUCUGAUCUCUUUAUUCAGUGUAGCUUUCAAUUCACCUCAAGCAACGUGUUGGACCUUCCGGAGCUUCUCAGAAGACAGAGGGUUUUCUUUUGAGGUAAAUUUGAUAGUACAUUUUGAUAGUACGGGAGGCGAUACGGCAUGGUGACAGAAAAGCGCCGGCUUGGUUAGCAGGACCACCUGGCAGGGCUGCAGGCUGUGCCACUUACCAGGCAGGGGACCUUGGGCCAGCUGCUUGGCCUCACUCACCCUGUUUCUCAGCUGCAAUUGGGAUGAACAGACUGCCUGCUUCGGGGUUGCCUAAAACUCACAUUGGUUAAUGAUGUGAAAUGCUUAGCGCAGUGCCUGGCAUAGAGAGAAUUCUCAUUAGAUGAUACCUCAGCUGGGCUUUAGGAGCUACAGAAGAAGCUGCAUCUCCAUGAGCUCAGCGUGUUUCUAGCUUUCCUUUUUGUUUUCUAUUCAACCUUUCACCCAACUCAGCUUCUCAAUCCCUAAAUGACAAAGGUUUGGGAAGGAAGACUUGGACCGAGGCUUGCAUUUGUUUCUGAGAAUUAAACGUUAUGUUUUCUUCAAUCUAAAUAGGUUUGCUUGUACAGCCUUGUUGAAUGGUUUUUUUUUUUUUUCUCCAUGAUAAAUGACUCUCAACUUCUUUUCCCUCAUCUAAUUGCUUAUCUACAUACAAUGCCUGGAAGGAAAUAAAUGUAAUGGCCCGUAGCAACUGGCCUUCAGGUAUCAAGUUUAAGUCCCUUUAAGCAGAACAGCAAAUUGAGCACAGAAUGAACUGGUUUCAUGGUAGCGUACUGCAAUUAGAUGCAAGAAUAGGGAAAGCAGGGUGCUUCAAGUGGUGACACAAUUAGUAUAGCACUGAGGGACUUCUCUUUCCACUUCUUCAACUCCGCCUGCAUUCCGCUGGCUGAAGAGUUGAUGACAUCCCUGAAAAAUCUUCCCUCUCUUGUUUCUCUGAUGCCACCUCUGUGUUCUCCGCCUCACUGGCCACACUUCCUUUACCUCCCAAACUUUUAACUCUGAGUGUCCCAAACUUGUCUCAUCACCUACCCCUGCUGCCCAGCUCCCCAGCCUGUUCCCCUUCUGACACGGGCACUCUCCUUCUGCUCUCUUGGGAGAGAAACAAUGAAGGCCUAUUUGGCACUUUUAUUUCUAUUCAAGGAACCAGACUGUGAACAAGUUUACCAUUUAGUCCUUUGGACUGUGUCUUGAAUUCAUCCCUCUUCUCCAUUCUCACCAGCACCAUCAUCAUGAUGGCUAAUAUUUCCUGAGCACCUUUCAUUCAGGCAUGAUGCCAGGUGCACCAACUUACUUAAUCCUCAUAGCCACCACCUGAGCAAGCUCCUGUUUUAUAAAUGGACCAGUUCUUGUUGCUGUUGUACAAGUUAUUUUCUUUCUAUAACGUCCUCCUUGUCCUCCUUCCACAUUCUUAAAGAAACUUUCCCUUCCUUUAAAGUACUCAGGGAGCCCUGCAUUGCUUCUUGAAGCCUUCUCCAGCUUCAUCAUCUCACAGUGGUCUCUCUUUUCACUAAAUGUCCAAUAUGCUGCACAUAAGUACCCCAAAGUUAGCACAGAAUUGUUCCAUGGCUGUCAUAUAUGUUAAAAAUCAUUAAAAGUUCAUUUUUUCUCCCAUUAUGGGAAGGAUACAUGCUCCUACUAGUAAAUUUAGUUGGUAGAAAAAAAUUAUCACUAUCUAGACUGCUUUCCCUUUAGUCUUUAUGCAUAGCUUUCUGUCUGCCUAUUUUUACUUUGUGUUUGUAACUUACUAUUAUAAAAUAUGCAUCUCUAUGUUCAUUGUCAACAUUAUUUACAAUAACAUGGAGUGGAUUUACAUGUAUUCUCUAUAUUUGGAUUAAAGGAGAUAGAGUAUGUGAAAUUAAAUGGGAGAAGUAUCUGAUACAUAACAGGCAAUACAAAUAUUAUCACAUAGCGUCAAUUUAUUUGUGAAUAUUGAAAGCUCCA